AGUCGUAACAAGGUAACCGUAGGUGAACCUGCGGUUGGAUCAUUAUUGAUUUUCCAUUGUGACUAGGCUUUUGUCUAUGAACAAUGCUAUCGGUUUCGUCUUUACUAGGCAACUAGUCUAGACUGAGACCAACACCCUAUGUGAACUUGUUUUUACUAUGGGAAUUGGACAGUAGUAGGAGUUUUCCUAUGAAAGUCUGUUCCCUCUAUAAACAUUGACCAUAGUCUAUUGAGUACCUUAAUCUCCUAGGACUUUCCUAAGGGACUAUAGCGAAAGAUACUGAGAAUACCAGAGAAAACCAUACUAAAAGUAAACAACUUUUGACAACGGAUCUCUUGGCUCUC
Molecule: unclassified non-coding RNA, 344 nt
Filed under: fungal sp.
Lineage: Eukaryota; Fungi
Description: partial internal transcribed spacer region
Rfam family: Eukaryotic small subunit ribosomal RNA (bases 1-45)
Source: RNAcentral